This 84-nucleotide microRNA precursor is filed under the name Rhodnius prolixus. RNAcentral's name for it is "microRNA miR-971 precursor". The record is from RNAcentral. Lineage: Eukaryota; Metazoa; Arthropoda; Insecta; Hemiptera; Reduviidae.
UGUAGUCAACUCACUCUAAGCUCGAACACCAAGCCCCGAGCGAUUGCUUCGUUUGGUGUUCUACCUUACAGUGAGUAGACUGUU